RNAcentral lists this ribosomal RNA (497 nucleotides) under uncultured bacterium. Its description in RNAcentral is "partial 16S ribosomal RNA". It matches the Rfam family "Bacterial small subunit ribosomal RNA", at positions 28 to 507 of the family's 1533-position model. The record is from RNAcentral.
GACGAACGCUGGCGGCGUGCCUAAUACAUGCAAGUUGAGCGCUGAAGGUUGGUACUUGUACCAACUGGAUGAGCAGCGAACGGGUGAGUAACGCGUGGGGAAUCUGCCUUUGAGCGGGGGACAACAUUUGGAAACGAAUGCUAAUACCGCAUAAAAACUUUAAACACAAGUUUUAAGUUUGAAAGAUGCAAUUGCAUCACUCAAAGAUGAUCCCGCGUUGUAUUAGCUAGUUGGUGAGGUAAAGGCUCACCAAGGCGAUGAUACAUAGCCGACCUGAGAGGGUGAUCGGCCACUUUGGGACUGAGACACGGCCCAAACUCCUACGGGAGGCAGCAGUAGGGAAUCUUCGGCAAUGGACGAAAGUCUGACCGAGCAACGCCGCGUGAGUGAAGAAGGUUUUCGGAUCGUAAAACUCUGUUGGUAGAGAAGAACGUUGGUGAGAGUGGAAAGCUCAUCAAGUGACGGUAACUACCCAGAAAGGGACGGCUAACUACGUG